RNAcentral lists this transfer RNA (63 nucleotides) under Cherax destructor. Its description in RNAcentral is "tRNA-Cys". Lineage: Eukaryota; Metazoa; Arthropoda; Malacostraca; Decapoda; Parastacidae. The record is from RNAcentral. RNAcentral also lists the same sequence under 2 other names.
GGCUUUAUAGUGGAAAAAAGACGUCAAAUUGCAAAUUUGAAGAUGUAAUGAUUACUAAAGCUU